Molecule: long non-coding RNA, 268 nt
Filed under: Equus caballus (horse)
Lineage: Eukaryota; Metazoa; Chordata; Mammalia; Perissodactyla; Equidae
Description: lncRNA (ENSECAG00000057466.1)
Source: RNAcentral
UGACUUCAGAAGCUGACAGUCCUGUCUGCAUGUUUUUCUCAUGCCAAGAGGAAGUCAUGGUUAAAACCCUGGAGCCAGACUGCCUGGACUCAAAUCCCAGCUCUGCCAUUUCCCAGCUGUGUGACCUCAGCCCCGCUGUUGUCAGCUUUAGCCCUCUUCUCAAGCGUGAGGACAUUCUGCAGAGGCCGGCUCCCUGACCUUCUGCUUCAGAGGCCAUUAAUUGUUUUGUUGGGUCCAUAUGGUGUUUUAAAAAUUUUGAAACAGUUCC